AUGCCCAUUGGCUUUAUUUUAGGGAUUUCCCCAACAUUGUUUUAGGCAGCCAUAGGACAGACACAUUGAUAAAGCUGUGUUCCAGAAUGGGAAACCAACAGCCAAUCAACAAAGAAAAGCUGUGAUUAAAAAAACAUAAGCUAGUAACUACACGAGGGAAACAGCAGUUUGACCCAUUUGCAUACAGCAUCCAGAAGACCUCCUUUAGUAACGACUUGCUUGGGUGACACAUGCAGAAUGCAGAAGGGCAGGAUCUUGCAUGUAUUAAGGAUCUUGCUCUAAAUUUAUUAGCAGAUGUGGCUCUUGUCCUCUCUGAUGCAGGUCACAUCUGUGGUUCUGGCUUGGCAGGACCUGUGACUUCUUAGAGCAGAGUGGACAACUUUGGGUCUUGGGAGCAGAUGCUGAGCUGGGCUAAUGGUUGUUUGCUGUGCCUCUGUAAAUGUGAGGCUGGAGGGCCAGCUGUCCACCUUCUAGCUAGUUUCUAAACCAUUAAUGGAUUAAAACAGUGAUUACACCUGAGCCCUCGUGAUUUAAUCAUCUCUGGAAACACCCUGACAGACACACCUAGGGGAAAGCUUUAUUAAACCCUUCAGCUCUCCCCAAAGCAAUCAAGUUGACAACCACAAUUAACUAGCACACUAGCAGUACACCCAUGAGCAAGCUGCCUGUUCUCUUGGGUUCCAGUCUCUACGGCUGAAAAUAGAAAGGGGAAGGGUCUGAGAAACUUUUCUUAAUUGUUUGGAGAAGAGUGUAGACCAUUGGUAAUAUGGGGUGAUAGAAGGAGGCAAAAACCUUACUUCAGAUAAGUAUGAGGUGAGGACAGAAUUUAUUUGGUGUGUAUAAUUAUGAUAUAGCACAUAUGAGACAAUCUGUCUUUGCAAUUUUUAUUAAAAUACAAUUACAUAUUUUCUUUAUUCCAUUUCCUCCCAUGACUCCCCCCACCUCCCACCCCUUACUUCCCGAAGUUCCUACCCCUUUUUAUUGAAUAAUUGUGAUUUAUAUACAUAUAUAUGAAAAUAUAAAUACAUCUUUCUGAAUCUGUUUCUAAUUCAAACAUUUUGCAGCAUACUGUUUAGUCAUGUUCAAGCCACAUAGCCUUCUUAUGUGUGACACAUUUCUAGCCUUCCUUUCCCCUGGCAAUAUGGAGACUGUGUACUCAACCCAACAGGCCACACCCCCUAAUGGUGCCACUCCUUUGUGAUUAAGUAUUCAAGUUAUGAGUCUGUGGGAGCCGUUUUUAUUCAAACCACUACAGAUGGUUACUAUGAAUAAUGAUACUGUGAAUAUGGUGCACAUCUCUCUCAUGAAGAUGCUGCUUCCAGCGUUACUCUUAGGGACUUGUUCAGAAAUUCCACUUCUGGGUCACCUGGUGAUUCUGUUUUUAAGGUGUUUGUUUGUUUGUUUGCCUGUUUUUUUGUUUUGUUUUGUUUUUGAUAUAGGGUUUCUCUUGGUAGCCCUGGCUGUUCUGGAACGUGUUCUGUAGGCCGGGUUGGCUGUGAACUCACAUAAAUCCAUCUGCCUGUCCCUCUCCACGCCUGGUUGGCUUUGGUUUCUUUACAUCUUGGUUUGUUUGUUUCUAGAGAUAGUCUCCCACUAUGAAGCCCAAGCUGGCUUCGAACUUAUGAUUUUCCUGCCUCAGCCACCAAAUGGUGGGGCAAUGUUACCAGCAUAUGCCAUCAUGCCCUUGAUCACUUUUUAAAAAAUAUUCUUGCCAAUGCUUAUUGUUCUGUUUUUACUUUUACUUAUUUUAAUAGUUGUCAACCUAAUGGAUGUGAGGGAGUAUGAAUUUAAUUUUCCUUUUCUCUAUAAGUGGUAUUUUGGACAUUUUUAUGUGCCUUUUGACCAUUUGUAUCAAGAAUGUCUAUUAAAAAUCUUUGCCC
This 1880-nucleotide long non-coding RNA is filed under the name Mus musculus (house mouse). Its description in RNAcentral is "long non-coding RNA chr9:97289185-97291065". The record is from RNAcentral. Lineage: Eukaryota; Metazoa; Chordata; Mammalia; Rodentia; Muridae.